This 107-nucleotide small nuclear RNA is filed under the name Dasypus novemcinctus (nine-banded armadillo). The record is from RNAcentral. Lineage: Eukaryota; Metazoa; Chordata; Mammalia; Cingulata; Dasypodidae.
GUGCUCACUUUGGCAGCACAAAUACUAAAAUUGGAAUGAUGCAGAGAAGAUUAGCAUGGCCCCUGUGCAAGAGUGACAUGCAGAUGGGUGAAGCAUUCCAUAUUUUU